CUACUACUAUUAUUAUCUUUGAAGCUCCAACGUGGUUCUUAGCACAGAGGAGGUGCUUAUUAUAAAUGGCUAAUGAAUAAGGAGAGAAACAAGAUCCACACUUUACAGUUGAGGAACAUGAGACUCAGUGGUGGAGGGAGCAGAGGGAGGUGGUGUCCAUGGUCGCUCAGUCAGCCUCCAGCAGAGAAGGAUCUGACGCCACAGUCCAGGCUAUUCCUGCAGUUCCUCGAGGCCCUGCUCACUGAGGCCAAGAUAGGAGAAGGACCUUUCCCAAGGUCAUGCACUGGUCAGCUGGCUGUAGAACCGAGAUCAGAGAGCUGGCCCCUGGCCACUGGGCAGAUAGCAGCCUGCAGUCAAGCACAAGUGGCUUUCUGGAGGUGAUUUCAUUGACCCCUGCUUCUCCCCCCAACCAGGCUUGGCCAUUCCCUGGCUGCCAGGAGCAGCGACAGGUGAUGGAGCAGGAGGUGAUAAACACAUCCCUUGACUUCCGUGAACGCCCAUCCAAUUUGCCAUUCCCAGGCUUAUGCCAAGAGUGUUUGUGUUAAUAAACCAAAUGGGCUUUUCACAGUCCACCCAGAGUGACUGAUGGCAGAGGCAGCGUGCAAUCCUGGCGGCUCCUUGGCCUCCUUCCUACUGAGCAGGGCGCCAGCUGGAACGGGGAGGGGGCACAGGAGAGCACAGACUUCAACUUCAAGUCGCUUUAAGUUGCAGACUUCCAGAGUCAUCCGGGCCCAGGGACACUUUCCCAACACCGUCAACGUGCAGCCACGCGAGGUGCCACUCGCCUCUGGAAGGAUGGAUCCCAGCAGCAGCCAACUCCUGGGGCAGUUUGAUAGAUCCUACAGGAAAAGAAAACCUCCCAGCCAGCCAUCUGGCACUCUCUGCUUCUCUCAACAUCUCUCCCUUACCCCCUAGGCUGGAGAGAGAUAAGGAGAUUCCAGGUGAUGUCAUCCUCCUGCCCAGUGUCCCAACCUUCCCUGGCAUUGUCCCCUCCAUGUGCACAAGCCUGCCGAGGCCUUUGCAAGAUGUCCUGCCCACCCAUGACCCCUACCCAUGGUCCAGUCCAAGCAUCAGAAAGGGCCUUUAUCCCAGUAUCCUGCCAGUCCACUGAGAUGGGCGGGCCGGCUCCGGGGACAGCUCCCUUACCUCACCAUAGCACCAAUAAUCCCUUCAUUUCACACACAUAGUCUAUCACUCACCUUCACACCCAUUUUCUCAAGAAUCUUGGGGGUCCUGCUUCCUCCCAGAAUCAGAGCCUAUUACAGAAGCGUCUGAUGAUCAUGCUUAGGAUCUGGUGCCUUUCACUGACACUCAGCAUUGCACAGCAGUGAUGAGAAGCACAAUAAAAAUAGAAGCGAUCGGCCUGGCAAGGUGGCUCACACUGUAAUCCCAGCACUUUGGGAGGCCAAGGCGGGCGGAUCACGAGCUCAGGAGAUCGAGACCAUCCUGGCUAACAUGGUCUCUACUAAAAAAAAAAAAAAAAAAAAAAAAAAAAAAAAAAAAAAAAAUAAGCGGGUGGGGGGGGGGCCACCUGUACU
Molecule: long non-coding RNA, 1538 nt
Filed under: Rhinopithecus bieti (black snub-nosed monkey)
Lineage: Eukaryota; Metazoa; Chordata; Mammalia; Primates; Cercopithecidae
Description: lncRNA (ENSRBIG00000045609.1)
Source: RNAcentral